Aedes albopictus (Asian tiger mosquito) is the source of this 58-nucleotide non-coding RNA. The record is from Rfam. NCBI's taxonomy places the organism in Eukaryota, Metazoa, Arthropoda, Insecta, Diptera, Culicidae.
UAGCCUAGUGGUUAAGGCUGUGGAUCGCCAAUCCGGAGACGACGGGUUCGAUUCCCGU